GAGACGCUGGCGGCGUGUCUUAGGCAUGCAAGUCGAAUGUCUCUUCGGAGGCAUGGCAGACGGGUGAGUAAGACAGUGGUAACCUACCCCAGAGUUUUGGAUAACUCUUCGAAAGGAGAGCUAAUACAAAAUGGACACGGGGGGAUAUAAAUCAUUCCCUUGUAAAGAUUUAUCGCUCUGGGAGGGGCCUUUGUGGUAUCAGCUUGUUGGUGAGGUAAAAGCUCACCAAGGCUUUGACGCUUAGCGGGUGUGAGAGCACGGCCCGCCACAUUGGGACUGAAACACUGCCCAAACUCCUACGGGAGGCUGCAGUCGAGAAUCUUCCGCAAUGCAGGAAACUGUGACGGAGCGACGCCGCGUGCAGGAAGACGCCCUUAGGGGUGUAAACUGCUUUUAUCAGGGAAAAACCCGCGAUGGUACCUGAUGAAUAAGAGGUUGCUAACCACGUGCCAGCAGCCGCGGUAAUACAAGCCGAAUCCAAGCACACU
RNAcentral lists this ribosomal RNA (488 nucleotides) under uncultured bacterium. RNAcentral's name for it is "bacterial SSU rRNA". It matches the Rfam family "Bacterial small subunit ribosomal RNA", at positions 35 to 539 of the family's 1533-position model. The record is from RNAcentral.